AUACGUAGGUGACAAGCGUUAUCCGGAUUUACUGGGCGUAAAGGGCGUGUAAGCGGUCUUGCAAGUCAGAAGUGAAAUUCCUGAGCUCAACUCGGGCGCUGCUUCUGAAACUGCAGGACUUGAGUGCUGGAGGGGAUAGCGGAAUUCCUAGUGGAGCGGCAAAAUGCGCAGAUAUUAGGAAGAACACCGGUGGCGAAGGCGGAUAUCUGGACAGUAACUUACGCUGAGGCGCGAAAGCGUGGAGAGCAAACAGGAUUAGAUUCCCUGUUAGUCCACGCCGUAAACGAUGAAUGCUAGGUGUAGGGGGUAUCGACUCCCUCUGUGCCGCAGUUAACACAAUAAGUAUGCCGCCGGGGGAGUACGGCCGCAAGGUUGAAACUCAAAGGAAUUGACGGG
Molecule: ribosomal RNA, 396 nt
Filed under: uncultured bacterium
Lineage: Bacteria
Description: partial 16S ribosomal RNA
Rfam family: Bacterial small subunit ribosomal RNA
Source: RNAcentral